RNAcentral lists this long non-coding RNA (13683 nucleotides) under Physcomitrium patens. RNAcentral's name for it is "long non-coding RNA (PPAT_LNC010306)". The record is from RNAcentral. Lineage: Eukaryota; Viridiplantae; Streptophyta; Bryopsida; Funariales; Funariaceae.
GGGGGGAAGGAUUUUUCAAGCUUCUGCAAGGUUACCAGUUCGGUUUUUUUUUGGAGGUUUUUGAAGAUCAAGGGAAUUAGAGAGAGGAGCUUCAUGCUUCGGGUCGGGGAAGGAAAGACAUAGAAUUUGGAUUUUUCUUCUUCGUAGAGUUUUGGGGAAGACUGAGGCAAUCGCUGCUGAAGUCAGUGUUGUAAUGGUGAAUCGGGAUUUUUAAAUGAAGUGGGUUUGAAUACUCUUGACUGUUUUGUGAAAUCGAGUUACGUCUGUGAUUGAAGGAUUAAAAGGGUGUCUAUAGGAUUGAGUAUGCGGAGUGAAUGAAAUUUAUUGGGUUAGUCUAACAAGACAGUCAGUGGAUACAAGAUCGUAAGUACAAAGCUGUAUUGAAGGUUAACAAUUUGGGUUGUACGGGGUUCUCUGUAACGUCUAGAGACCUAUCGGCUGGGGCAAAAAGGACUUCGACAAGUAGUCGAAGAGCACCCGUAUAGAUUUACGGUACAUUGUUGCAGUCGUUUAUAUUCCAGCAGUCAAAAACUGAUAGACUGCUUGACUAUCGGCGAAUCUCCAUACUACCUUCUACAGCCAGACGCCCGACGCGUUCUCAAGCAGGAAAGCACGUAAUACGACAUAAGUGGUGAACCCGACGUGAAAGCUUGAGGUAGAAGGUAUAGGAUUUCGGUUGAUUUUAUCUUUAUUUUUAUGGAAAACGAAAAUAAAAAUUUUGAAGGAUUUUUGGGAGGAGUUUCUGGUGCGGAGUCUUCUAAAGGACAAGGUAUGCACAUGGAUCCGUCUAUUGCUAGUUUGUUUCAAGCCUUCUCAUUGUCAAUGCAGCAACAGCAAAACAAUGAUCGAAAGGAAGCUUUGGCAACCAAAGCAUUGCAAGCAGUGGUCAAUAAAAUUGAUCAAUUUGAUGGGAGGAAUAUUUCAAGGUAUUUAAGAUGUUAUGUUCGUGAAAUAGAAUUAAAUCGGAUUUCUGAGAAGAAAAUGGUUGCACUAUUUGGACUUGCCACGAUACCGGAGAUAAGGGACCACAUUACAUCGAUUAUGGAUCGUUGUGGGAAUUCAUGGGAGGAUUUUUCACAUGCAUUGAAAGACGAAUAUUUCUUGAAAGAUGCUGAUCACAUUACUAAGAAGCUGUUUCUGGGAUGGAUUGAACGGCCCAAUAAGAAUUUGCAAGCAACAGAGCUACUAAGGGAAUUUGAGAGGCAGUACUCUUAAUUAUCGAAGGUAGAAAAAUUGACAUUGGAGCCGAACAAAGUUGAUCUAUUUCUUCAAGCUGCUGAUGGAGAAUUGCAAGAAAAAUUAGAACCCCUUCUUGAAGACAAAGAAGAAGAUGAAGGAUUGACAACGAAGUGGAAGAACAUUGAAGAUGCGGUGGGAUUGCUUACAAAAAAAGAAAGGAGGAAGGAUAGGAGUAAUAUUCCGAAACCAGUACAAGCACCCAAAGCUCCAGUACGUACUACACCACCGACAAUGCCUACAGUUCAACCUUCGACAUCCUUGUCAAAGAAAGCAGAUAUGGGGAUGGAAGAAAUUAUACGAGGAAUGCGAGAUCUUCAAAUCAAAUUAGCAAGACUUGAAGAGAAUACUUCUAUAAACAAUUCGAAGAAUGUUUUAAAACAAGGAUAUGUACAAAGAUGCAUUUGGUGUGAUGACGCUUCACACACAAGAAAAGAUUGCAAUGAAUUUAAUAAUAUGAUAUGACAGGGAAUUAUUUGCUGGAAAGAUGGGAAGAUAGCAUUGAAAGAUAGGGAGGAUCUUCUUCAAACCAAUUUUGGCAAGGGAGGAAUGAGAGCAUUGGUUCAAGAUUACUUAAAAGGGCAUGAAAUAGUAGCACGAGAAAGUGCAAGUUAUGGUGCUAGAGUAGAUGAUGAAAUUGGUGGAAGUACGGAAACUAGUGAGUUUUGGGCUUCUGCCGUUUCUACAAUGCAAGAAGGGAAAUUACCUCGAGAAGCGUUAUUGAGAACUGCAGCUACAAUACGAAGAAGAACAGGUUGGGUAAAUCCCGUUGAGUCUCUUUCAGUUCAUGCAUAUAUUGCUAAGAGCCAACAUGAAGCUUUGAUGGAAGAAAAAAGACGAGGAAAUUUUGAUGAUACUAGAGAAGGAAAUUCUUUUAAGAGGCAAACUCGAGGAAACAAGGCUCGGGAGGCAGCUUCACAAGAAUUGCCUGUAAAGGAUACCUCAGCAUCAUUGGAAAAAAAAACAACGGAGACAAAAGAUAAAGGCAAAUCAAUUGCUUAUAAGCUACUUUCUGACAUUGAAGCGGCAACAAAUUUGAAAGGGGUGUUGGAAGAACGUAUAUUAAACGCUAAGGUGGAAUUCACAUUGAAAGAAGUCUUGGGAAUUGCAAAGAAGGAGUUUCAUGAUGUUAUCAUUGACAGCAUUAAGCGAAAGAGGCAAUUAAUGAGCGAAACUGGAAUGAGUCAUGCUAUUGAUGCAAGAAUAUAUAAAGAUGAAGAAGAGGUUGAUAUUGGUUACAAGCAACCAACAAAUGAAAAGAAUAGGUAUAAUCAGCGAGUACGUUUCGAAGAUUCUAGUGACAAGGAAAUGGAAACUUUGAGCCAUUAUACUCGAAAGCAUUGGGCAAGGGCAACUACUGAGGUAUUGGUGAGGGUAGGAGAUAUAGAGGAACCAAUAGUUGCUUUGGUGGACCAUGGUUCUGAAAUAAAUCUCAUAUCUAAAGAUCUUUAUAAGAAGCAAAAAUGGCCAAUUGAUAUGGAACAUAGAUGGGCAAUACGAGCAGCUAAUAACACACGAGGCGAAUUAUAUGGAGCUUGUCCAGAUGUCAAAAUUCGGAUUGGGGAUGUUGCGACGGAGCAACAUUUCUUCGUUCAAGAUACAACGUCUUAUCCGUUGAUUUUAGGACAACCUUCUAUCACGGCAACACGGAUGCAAACAAAGGUACUUGACGAUGGUUCUGCUUAUGCAAGGGUACGGAGCGAAGAUGGGAGGAAAGCUGUACAAUUUCUUACAGUACCUCCUAACCAUGAAUGGAAUCGAGAUAGGUUGAGGGAGAAACCAUUGCCAAAGAUUGUUGAAGGAUUUAAGGAUUUUGGGGAGGUACCACUGUAAAGCGAGAUUAUGGAGGUACAAAAGAGGAGGUACUCUCGCAAGAUGAAGGUGCCUUUGAUGCGAGUUUUAUUGGUAUAUUGGAGAAUGGAAAUAUUAUGUAUAAGAAAGUUAAUGAUUUUAAAAGAAAAGAAAGAAAAAGAUUAUAUGAUAUUGAAGGACAGUUACGCAAGAUAGGUACAUUGCAAGAUGAUGAGAGGAUUUUGGGUGUUUAUGAAGAAAAUGGGCUGGAAGAUUCAUUGGAAUUGAUUACAUCUAUUGAGUUAGGGGAUAAUGAUAAGAUUGUUGAGAUUCAUUCGAGAGAGGUUUAUACCAUGCUUGAGUCUUUUCAAGCACCAGAAGUCACAGUAGAGACGAGAUAUAAAACGGCAGAUAAGAAGGUAAAGCUUGUUGCCGGACCAUUACCAGAGGAUUUUAAAGAACAAAUGGGAGAAGCAUCAAGAGAAGCAAGUUUAAGAGAUCCAAUGAGUAUUGGACAUCAGUUUACUAAAGAGACUUUUGAAGAAUUGAAGAUUGGUUCUGAUGGAUCUUUAUUGCCGGAGGAAAUUACUUGCUUCAAAAAGAUGUUGGCUAAACAAGGUAGAUCGUUUGCCUUCGAAUCUCAUGAAAUUGGGUGUGUGGAUCCAAAUAUUAUAACACCUAUGGUUAUCUUCACUGUACCGCAUGUACCUUGGAAUCUAAGACCGAUUCCAGUACCGAGGGCACAUUUACCUAAAUUGGUCGAACUAUUGAAAGAAAAGAUAAAGAUGAAAAUAUUAGAACCUUCAUUUGCGCCGUAUUCUAGUCGAUGGUUUACGGUACCUUAGAAGAAUGGGUCACUACGGUUUAUUCAAGAUAUGCAGCCGGUGAAUGCUUUAACUGUCAGGAAUGCAGGAAUUGGACCUAUUGUGGAUGAAUUUGCUGAGGCGUUUGCUGGAAGGGCGAUCUACUCAAUGGGUGAUUUGUAUUCAGAUUAUGAUCAAUUUCAACUUGCUGAAGGAAGUAGAGAUAUGACAACAAUGAGGACACCGCUUGGAUUGGUUAGAAUGUGCACUCUUCCUCAAGGCGCGACCAACUCAGUUGCGCAUAUGAUGAAUGGGAUGAAUAAGGUAUUGAGAGAUUUUAUCCCGGAAAAGACUAUGCCUUUUCUGGAUGAUGUUCCUAUAAAAGGGUGCAGAGAAGGAGACAAGGAUGAAACUUUAGAUACGAGGGGGUGUCGCAAAUAUGUUGUUGAUCAUAUACAAGAUUGUGAAAAGAUUUUAACUCGGCUUGGAGAAGUUCAUCUUACAUUAUCGGGUAUGAAGUCCGUAUUUGGAGUGCGAGAGGUUGUAAUUGUUGGACAUUUAUGCGGAUCUUACGGAAGAAAACCAGAUCCGACUAAAGUUGAUGCAAUUGGAAGGAUGAAAGAGGAUUGUGGUUCUUUAAUAGACGUUCGCAGGUUUUUAGGUGCAUGUGUAUUUUAUCGAAUCUGGAUCCCUCAUUUUGCUCACAUAGCGGAUCCAUUAUAUGAACUGUUACGCAAAGGUUACCGAUUUGAAUGGAAAGGAAGGCAUAUUCAGGCAAUGCAAAGAUUGAAGAAAUUAUUGAUGUCACCUCCAAUAUUGAGGAAGGUUGAUUAUAAGUGCAAUAGACCAGUGAUUCUUACUGUAGACGCUAGUCCAAUUGCCGUUGGAUGGGCGGUGGGUCAAGAUGAUUCGAAUGGGAGUAGAUUUGCAGUUCGAUUUGGGGCUCAAGUUUUAAAUAUUCGUCAGCGUGCAUAUUCGCAAGUCAAAAGAGAACUUUGGGGAGUCGUUUCGGCUAUGAAAGCUGAAAAGGACUAUUUGAUUGGGGCAGUAGUAGUAAUUGAAACAGAUUGCUUGCCAUUGCUUGGAAUGAUUACUAACUGUUCAACGCCAGAUAUUGCAAUGUUGAGAUGGAUUGCUUAUAUUAAGUCACUAAAUCUGAAAUUUAAGCAUGUUACUGGGAAGGACAAUUUAGUAGCAGACAUGCUAUCUCGAGCAAGAUACGAGAGGGAGGACGAAAUGGUUGAAGACAUUGAUGACGUCGGAUUGAAAUUCUAUUCAAUAUCAAAUCUCAACUGAGAAGACAAGCUAUUUCUUGAAGAAUCUUAUGAAGGAGAAUUAUUGGAUAUUGGUCAUUACUUGAAUAUCUUAACUAAGCAGGGGAAUUGGUCUACAGAAAAAUUCAAACAAAUAAGAAAAAAAGCAUAUUGAUUUUUACUUCGAGAUGGAUUCUUAUGGAAGAGACCGAAGAAAGGAAUUGGGAUGCCACGACGAGUGAUAGGCAAAAGGGAAGAAAAACUAAAAUUAUUAAAGGAGUUUCAUGAUAGUUUAUGGGCAGGGCAUAGAGGAAUCUGGGCUACUUUUGCUAAACUCAAAGAACGAUAUUGGUGGAAAAAUAUGUAUCGAGAUGUGUUCUCAUUUGUAGAGUCAUGUGAAAUCUGUCAAUCGUAUUCUAAUAUCCGACAUCGAGAUGGUCUUCAUCCUACGUAUCCUCUGGCUAUUCAUUUUAAAUGGGUUGUUGAUUUGGUUAUUAUGCCGGUUGGGUUAUGGCAGAUGAGAUAUUUGAUUUUAGCUCGUGAAGAUUUAUCAAAUCAAGUAGAAGGAAGCGCAUUGAGGACAAAAUCUACAGAGGAGAUUUGUAGGUUUUUGCUUGAAGAUGUCAUUUGCCGUUACGAGUGCGUAGGAAAAAUCACUGCAGAUCGUGGAGAAUUAAAUGUACAAGAAGUUCGUAAGUUCUUUGAAAGAUGUGGAGUUAAACUAUCAGUGACUACUGCUUAUAAUCCGGAAGGGAAUGGGAAAAGCAAACGCGGUCACCCGCCGAUUGUGAAAGCAUUGGUUAAAGCUUGUAAUGGGAUGGUUAAAGAGUGGCCACGGCUUUUGUCAUUUGCAUUAUGGGCUGAUCGAACAACACAUAGUUCGGUGACAAGAUAUAUGCCAGUAGAACUUAUGACAGGUCAAAAACCAAUUAUGCCGAUUGAAGAAAAGGUACUUACUUGGAAUAUGUUAUCAUGGAAAGAUGGAUUGACAAGAGAAGAACUUCUGGCUAUUAGGAUUCGACAAUUGGAGCAAAGAACGGAAGAUGUCUAGAUAGCAUUGGAAAGGUUAAAAAGAGCAAGGUUACAAAACAAGGUGCGAUUCGAUAAGCAACAUCGAUUGAGAUCAAAAGCAAUCGAGGAAGGUGACUGGGUACUUGUUUAUGACAAUAGUCUGGAUAAUCAACAUAGUACUUUGCGGAAAUUUUCAAAACGUUGGUUUGGACCAUAUGUAGUAACAACUGUUCAUGAUAAUGCGACUUACUCAUUACGGGAGUUAGAUGGUACAAAAUUGAAAAUACCAAUUACAGGGAAGCGAGUAAAAAUAUUUAAACGAAGACACGCGGAGAUGAAUAUGGAAGACCUUAAUGAAGGUACAGAGAUUCCGCAGCAAAAAGAUGAAAGUGAUAUGGAUAAUGAAGGUGACGACGACGAACUGGACAAAGACGUAGGGGAUAUAUUCUGAAUCAAAUAGCAAUUGGGUAAAUUGGUGCAUACCGGAGGAUGCAUAGGUUCAGAGGGGGUGGAUGUCGUGUUGUAACACGAUUAUACAGUGAAAAUAAAAAGAAAGGGGAAUUUUAUUAAUAUUCAGUUAUCUCGAAUAUUGGGAGCAUCGACCAACUCCAGUACAAAUACUGAGUGGUCAGGUUCAGUCACUCCGUUACAGUCAGCCGGGGCAUACUGAAAUGCUCCAUUCGAUUCUAAUAAUAGGAGUCAGCAGGAAGAGAAGGACCAAUUCACAAGACGGGUUCGAGGAGCCAAUUGGAUCCAAUUUCGAUAAUCCAAUCCGGGUCCUCUUAUUCAAUAUGAGACCUGAAUUGGCCGGUCAACCCAGUGCAGUCUAAUUACGGGAAAUCCAGGUCUUACUACGGGUCUUAGCCAAUCCGACGCAAGGACCAAUUUGACCCAAUUACGGGAACAUCCAGGUUACUACGGGCAUCUUUUCCAAUAUAGGACCUGAGUUGGUCGGGCGACUCAAUGUGGUCUCGAUUACGGGGUUCGAUUCUGUUUCAGGCUGUCCUGUUCUCUGUGCCGUCUCAGGGAACGUUGUUUUCGGUAAAUGGAUUUCUUAAAGGCAAAAACGGAGGAGAAAGCUUGACGGCGAGAGCCAAUUUCGGAUCCAAGCUUGAGGUGGGAGCCAAUUCCGGAUCUAAGACGGAAGAUUGAAGAAAUUCAGAGGAUAAGGUUAGGUGGGAUAUAGUUUGGGGGGUGGUUUUUUUUUGAGGGGAAAUCGGGGGGGAAGGAUUUUUCAAGCUUCUGCAAGGUUACCAGUUCGGUUUUUUUUUGGAGGUUUUUGAAGAUCAAGGGAAUUAGAGAGAGGAGCUUCAUGCUUUGGGUCGGGGAAGGAAAGACAUAGAAUUUGGAUUUUUCUUCUUCGUAGAGUUUUGGGAAAGACUGAGGCAAUCGCUGCUGAAGUCAGUGUUGUAAUGGUGAAUCGGGAUUUUUAAAUGAAGUGGGUUUGAAUACUCUUGACUGUUUUGUGAAAUCGAGUUACGUCUGUGAUUGAAGGAUUAAAAGGGUGUCUAUAGGAUUGAGUAUGCGGAGUGAAUGAAAUUUAUUGGGUUAAUCUAACAAGACAGUCAGUGGAUACAAGAUCGUAAGUACAAAGCAGUAUUGAAGGUUAAUAGUUUGGGUUGUACGGGGUUCUCUGUAACGUCUAGAGACCUACCGGCUAGGGCAAAAAGGACUUCGACAAGCAGUCGAAGAGCUCCCGUAUAGAUUUACGGUACAUUGUUGCAGUCGUUUAUAUUCCAGCAGUCAAAAACUGAUAGACUGCUUGACUAUCGGCAAAUCUCCAUACUACAUUCUACAGUCAGAUGCCCAGCACGUUCUCGAGCAGGAAAGCACGUAAUACGACAACGUACGGCUUCAAUUUGCAUGUCUUCUACUUCCGAAUGUACGUUUGGCAAAGAUGUUGAUGUUGCCAUUGAGUAAUAACGUUGAGGUUUCCGUGAAUGAUUCUCGGAUCAAAAUUUGAAAAGUCGAUUAUCACAUUUUACCGCAAAAUCGAUUGCUUGACUCAAAGUUUGAGGAUCAGGUAAGUUGAGCAUCAAUUUCUUUACUUCAUAUUGCAAUCCAUAAAGAAAUUGACUGAUGAGUGCAGCAUCAUCCCACUUGAUGUCAAUUGCAAGUUGUCGAUUGCAACACGAGUUGCAUCGUGUUCACCAUACAUAGAUCGAAACUCCGCCAAAAAAGCUUCCAAAUUGUCCAAUAUUGGAUUUCGUUGUUCAAGAAAAGACGAAAAUCACGAUAAUGCAGAACCAGAAAGUAGAGUGCCAAUAAACCUGACUUGUGAUCCUGGAGUUGGAUAGCUUUGCGGUUGAAGUUCAAUUGCCAAUUGUACUUGAUUGAUGAACCCUCGAAACUUUGAUCUCGUACCAUCAAAUUUCUUAGGUAAGGCAAUUCUUGGUUCUCUAGUGCUUAUAGGGUGUUGUACAAUUGGAGAAGGAACGUGAUUUGUUGUAGAUGUUGAAGCAGCUCCGAUCAUCUCUAUAUCCCCACUUUUUGCUAUUCUUGUUCUUUCCUGUGUUGGUGAAUUGAGUUGAUGCAUCGCAAGCAUUACCUCCCUCAUUUGCUCUUGCAUUUGUGCCAUUACACUCUUCAUUUCAAGAAGCUCUACCAUAAUGACACUAAGAAGAAAAAUUUGUUUGAUACUGCUUAAGACAAAAGAAAAGAAAGACUUGAUAACAAAGAAGAUACUAAGAACAAUAUCACUUUAGAAGUGGGUAAUCCGCAAACUUCUAAUACGCUUAUGCCUUGUCAAGAGAAAGGGGUAAUCCACUCUUACUCAAGAAAAACAAAGCUCUGAUAUUGUAAGUACACUCUUGUCAAUCUGUCAAGGACAAGAACUCGAUGAAAAAACAGUUCAGACAAGUAAGCCUUCACUCAAAGAAAAAUAACAAAAUAUGAAUAAUAAGUAUGUAUAUUGAAAAGAGAAACUAGAAUGGCUAUUGCCAAAAGACAAGAAAACUAGAGACCCUUGAAACUACACUAGAAGCAAGAAAGGAGUUGACAAGAGUGAAGAAGCCUUCACUCUUGUCUCUAUAUAUACUAUCUAACUAGGAGCUACGUGGCGAUAUUCUAUAGGACCUUCAAUAUGUGUUGACUUUGUAGGACACAUGCCUUGACUUACAAGGCAAGUUUUUCUACGUGUGGGCCACAUAGUUAGCUUGAUCUUUAAGCUAACAACAUGUGUGGCACAUGGCCAACUUGUUGACCACGUUUCUAAUCCAAAAAGUCAAUUAAAGACACCUAUGAAGUCAAAGCGGUAUCUAAGAAGUUUCUAGGAAGCUUCUAUUUUAAAUAUUAUAGAAUUAACUUACUUUUAUCUACUUUUACUUACUUCUAUCUAUUUCUAUAUGUAAUUAUUAGCUUACAUGAUUAUGGCCGUGACAAGUUAGGGGAUAAUGAUAAGAUUGUUGAGAUUCAUUCAAGAGAGGUUUAUACCAUACUUGAAUCUUUUCAAGCACCACAAGUCACUGUAGAGACGAGAUAUAAAAAGGUAGAUAAGAAAGUAAAGCCCGUUGCCGGACCAUUACCAGAAGAUUCUAAAGAAUAAAUGGGAGAAGCAUCAAAAGAAGCAAGUUUAAGAGAUCCAAUGAGUAUUGGACAUCAGUUUACUAAAGAGACUUUUGAAGAAUUGAAGAUUGAUUUUGAUGGUUCUUGAUUGCCGGAGGAAAUUACUUGCUUCAAAAAGAUGUUGGCUAAACAAGGUAGAUCGUUUGCUUUCGAAUCUCAUGAAAUUGGGUGUGUGGAUCCAAAUAUUAUAACACCUAUGGUUAUCUUCACUGUACCGCAUGUACCUUGGAAUCUAAGACCGAUUCCAGUACCGAAGGCAUAUUUACCUAAAUUGGUUGAGCUAUUAAAAGAAAAGAUAAAGAUGAAAAUAUUAGAACCCUCGUUUGCGCCGUAUUCUAGUCGAUGGUUUACGGUACCUAAAAAGAAUGGGUCACUACGAUUUAUUCAAGAUAUGCAACCGAUGAAUGCAGUAACUGUCAAGAAUGCAGGAAUUGGACCUAUUGUGGAUGAAUUUGCUGAGGUGUUUGUUGGAAGGGCGAUCUAUUCAAUGGAUGACUUGUACUCAGAUUAUGAUCAAUUUCAACUUGCCGAAGGAAGUAGAGAUAUGAUAACAAUGAGGACACCACUUGGAUUGGUUAGAAUGUACACUCUUCCUCAAGGCGCGACCAACUCAGUUGCGCAUAUGAUGAAUGGGAUGAAUAAGGUAUUGAGAGAUUUUAUUCUGGAAAAGACUAUGCCUUUUCUGGAUGAUGUUCCUAUAAAAGGGUGCAGAGAAGGAGACAAGGAUGAAACUUUAGAUACGAGGGGGUGUCGCAAAUAUGUUGUUGAUCAUAUACAAGAUUGUGAAAAGAUUUUAACUCGGCUUGGAGAAGUUCAUCUUACAUUAUCGGGUAUGAAGUCCGAAUUUGGAGUACGAGAGGUUGUAAUUGUUGGACAUUUAUGUGGAUCUUAUGGAAGAAAACUAGAUCCGACUAAAGUUGAUGCAAUUAGAAGGAUGAAAGAGGAUUAUGAUUCUUUAACAGAGGUUCGCAGGUUUUUAGGUGCAUGUGUAUUUUAUCGAAUCUGGAUCCCUCAUUAUGCUCACAUAACAGAUCCAUUGUAUGAACUAUUAUGCAAGGAUUACCGAUUUAAAUGGAAAGAAAGGCAUAUUCAGGCAAUGCAAAGAUUGAAGAAAUUAUUGAUGUCACCUCCAAUAUUGAGGAAGGUUGAUUAUAAGUGCAAUAGACCAGUGAUUCUUAUUGUGGACGCUAGUCCAAUUGCCAUUGGAUGGGCUGUGGGUCAAGAUGAUUCAAAUGGGAAUAGAUUUGCAGUUCGAUUUGGGGCUAAAGUUUUAAAUAUUCGUCAGCGUACAUAUUUGCAAGUCAAAAGAGAACUUUGGGGAGUCGUUUCGACUAUGAAAGCUGAAAAGGACUAUUUGAUUGGGGCAGUAGUAGUAAUUGAAACAGAUUGCUUGCCAUUGCUUGGAAUGAUUACUAACUGUUCAACGCCAGAUAUUGCAAUGUUGAGAUGGAUUGCUUAUAUUAAGUCACUAAAUCUGAAAUUUAAGCAUGUUACUGGGAAGGACAAUUUAGUAGCAGACAUGCUAUCCCGAGCAAGAUACGAGAGGGAGGACGAAAUGGUUGAAGACAUUGAUGACGUCGGAUUGAAAUUCUAUUCAAUAUCAAAUCUCAACUGAGAAGACAAGUUAUUUCUUGAAGAAUCUUAUGAAGGAGAAUUAUUGGAUAUUGGUCAUUACUUGAAUAUCUUAACUAAGCAGGGGAAUUGGUCUACAGAAAAAUUCAAACAAAUAAGAAAAAAAGCAUAUUGAUUUUUACUUCGAGAUGGAUUCUUAUGGAAGAGACCGAAGAAAGGAAUUGGGAUGCCACGACGAGUGAUAGGCAAAAGGGAAGAAAAACUAAAAUUAUUAAAGGAGUUUCAUGAUAGUUUAUGGGCAGGGCAUAGAGGAAUCUGGGCUACUUUUGCUAAACUCAAAGAACGAUAUUGGUGGAAAAAUAUGUAUCGAGAUGUGUUCUCAUUUGUAGAGUCAUGUGAAAUCUGUCAAUCGUAUUCUAAUAUCCGACAUCGAGAUGGUCUUCAUCCUACAUAUUCUCUGGCUAUUCAUUUUAAAUGGGUUGUUGAUUUGGUUAUUAUGCCGGUUGGGUUAUGGCAGAUGAGAUAUUUGGUUUUAGCUCGUGAAGAUUUAUCAAAUCAAGUAGAAGGAAGAGCAUUGAGGACAAAAUCUACAGAGGGAAUUUGUAGGUUUUUGCUUGAAGAUGUCAUUUGCCACUACAGAUGCGUAGGAAAAAUCACUGCAGAUCGUAAAGAAUUAAAUGCUCAAGAAGCUCGUAAGUUUUUUUUGAAAGAUGUGGAGUUAAACUAUCAGUGACUACUGCUUAUAAUCCGGAAGGGAAUGCAAAAAGCGAACGUGGUCACCCACCGAUUGUGAAAGCAUUAGUUAAAGCUUGUAAUGGAAAAGUUAAAGAGUGGCUAUGGCUUUUGUCAUUUGCAUUAUGGGCUGAUCGAACAACACAUAGUUCAGUGACAGGAUAUAUGCUAGUAGAACUUAUGACAGGUCGAGAACCAAUUAUGCCGAUUGAAGAAAAGGUACUUACUUGGAAUAUGUUAUCAUGGAAAGAUGGAUUGACAAGAGAAGAACUUCUGGCUAUUAGGAUUCGACAAUUGGAGCAAAGAACGGAAGAUGUCCAGAUAGCAUUGGGAAGGUUAAAAAGAGCAAGGUUAUAAAACAAGGCGCGAUUCGAUAAGCAACAUCGAUUGAGACCUAAAGCAAUCGAAGAAGGUGACUGGGUACUUGUUUAUGACAAUAGUCUGGAUAAUCAACAUAGUACUUUGCGGAAAUUUUCAAAACAUUGAUUUAGACCAUAUGUAGUAACAACUGUUCAUGAUAAUGCGACUUACUCGUUACGGGAGUUAGAUGGUACAAAAUUGAAAAUACCAAUUACAGGGAAGCCAGUAAAAAUAUUUAAACGAAGACAUGCAAAGAUGAAUAUGGAAGACCUUAAUGAAGGUAUAGAGAUUCCGCAGCAAGAGAUUGAAAGCGAUUUGGAUAAUGAAGGUGACGAAGACGAACAGGAUAAAUACGUAGAGGAUGUUUUCUAAAUCAAAUAGCAAUUGGAUAAAUUGGUGCAUACCAGAGGAUGCACAGGUUCAGAGGGGGUGGAUGUCGUGUUGUAAUACGAAUAUACCAUGAAAAUAUAAAGAAAUGGGACUUUUAUUAAUGUUCAGUUACCUCGAAUAUUGGGAGCAACGACCAAGUCCAGUGCAAAUACUGAGUGGCCAAGUUCAGUCACUCCGUUACAAUCAGCUGGGGCAUACUAAAAUGCUCUGUUCGAUUCCAAUAACGGGAGUCAGCAGGAAGAGAAAGGACCAAUUCACACGACGGGUGAGCCUAGUUCGAAGAGCCAAUUGGAUCCAAUUUCAAGAAUCCAAUCCGGGUCCUCUUACCAUAUAUGAGACCUGAAUUGGCCGAGCAACCCAAUACAGUCUAAUUACGGGAAAAUCCAGGUUUUACUACGGGCCUCAGCCAAUCUGACGUGAAGGACCAAUUUGAUCCAAUUACGGGGACAUCCGGGUCUUACUACUGGACUCUUAGCCAAUAUGAGACCUGAAUUGGUCGGGCGACUCAAUGUGGUCCCGAUUACGGGGUUUGGAUUCUAUUUCAGGUUGUCCUGUUCUCUAUGCCGUUUCAAAGAACGUUGUUUUUGGUACAAAGAUCUCUUAAAGGUAAAAACGGGGGAGAAAGCUCUGACGGCGAGAGCCAAUUUUGGAUCCAAGCUCUGACGGUGGGAGCCCAUUCCGGAUCCAAGACGGAAGAUUGAAGAAAUUCAGAGGAUAAAGUUAGGGGAGAGAAUAAGUUUUUUGGGGAGGUUUUUGAAGAUGGGAUGUUUUUGGAUCGAAGAGCUAGCUUCAAGCUCUUUUCAAGGUCACUAGUUUGGUUUUAUUAGGGUUUGUGUGGAGAGAGCUAGCUUCAUGCUUCGGGCGGGGAAAAAAGACAGAGAAUUGGAUUUUUUUUUUUUCUUCAUAGGGUUUGGGAAGACUGAGGCAAUCGCUCUUGAAGUCAGUGUUGUAAUGGUGAAUCGGGAUUUUUA